This 430-nucleotide unclassified non-coding RNA is filed under the name Hevea brasiliensis (rubber tree). Lineage: Eukaryota; Viridiplantae; Streptophyta; Magnoliopsida; Malpighiales; Euphorbiaceae. The record is from RNAcentral.
GACAAAUGUUGCUCACUACAAUCGUGAACGUAUAAGAAGAGGAGCAACUGUUGACAAGACGGUGUGCCGGAAAAACCUUGGAAGAUUGACUCGCCUUUGGCUGAAGGCUGAACAGGAGCGGCAACAUAAUUACUUGAAAGACGGACCAUAUGUUACUCCAGAAGAAGCAGUAGCCAUAUAUACUACCACUGUGCAUUGGUUGGAGUCCAGGAAGUUUUCUCCUAUACCAUUCCCUCCGUUGUCAUACAAGCAUGACACAAAGCUACUAAUCCUUGCACUUGAGAGACUGAAAGAAUCUUACAGUGUGGCUGUGAGGUUGAACCAGCAGCAAAGGGAAGAGUUGGGUCUCAUUGAGCAAGCUUAUGAUAAUCCUCAUGAAGCAUUAUCACGAAUUAAGCGUCAUCUGCUUACUCAGCGUGCCUUCAAAGAA